This 76-nucleotide transfer RNA is filed under the name Litorivicinus lipolyticus. RNAcentral's name for it is "Litoricola lipolytica tRNA-Thr". It matches the Rfam family "tRNA". Rfam says of the family: Transfer RNA (tRNA) molecules are approximately 80 nucleotides in length. Their secondary structure includes four short double-helical elements and three loops (D, anti-codon, and T loops). Lineage: Bacteria; Pseudomonadati; Pseudomonadota; Gammaproteobacteria; Oceanospirillales; Litorivicinaceae. The record is from RNAcentral.
GCUCACGUAGCUCAGUAGGUAGAGCACCCCCUUGGUAAGGGGGAGGUCGGAGGUUCAAAUCCUCUCGUGAGCACCA